RNAcentral lists this long non-coding RNA (259 nucleotides) under Elaeis guineensis (African oil palm). RNAcentral's name for it is "long non-coding RNA (EGUI_LNC048464)". Lineage: Eukaryota; Viridiplantae; Streptophyta; Magnoliopsida; Arecales; Arecaceae. The record is from RNAcentral.
UUUUCAUGAUCUCUAGCAUAAAGAUCAUCAUCUUUCUAUUUUCUUCUUCUUCUCUAAGAGUGUUUUGAGAGAAAAAAAAAUUUUCAAAUGUCAAGAUGCGAUCUCUGCAAGGGAGCUAGUACUUCGGUGAGAUCAAGAAGCUUUUGAUCAGAUCGAAAUCUUGUAUGGAUAUCCAUAGAGGUCGGACGCUUGUGCGGUUUUAAGAGACCUUUGGAAGACAUCUAUGAUCAUCAAUUCAUAGUGUAGAUCGACCCACGCC